This 217-nucleotide ribosomal RNA is filed under the name uncultured bacterium. Its description in RNAcentral is "partial 16S ribosomal RNA". It matches the Rfam family "Bacterial small subunit ribosomal RNA", at positions 125 to 334 of the family's 1533-position model. The record is from RNAcentral. RNAcentral also lists the same sequence under 1 other name.
CCGUAGCCCAAGAGAUCGGGAUAACACCUGGAAACAGAUGCUAAUACCGGAUAACAACAGAUGAUGCCUAUCAACUGUUUAAAAGAUGGUUCUGCUAUCACUCUUGGAUGGACCUGCGGUGCAUUAGCUAGUUGGUAGGGUAACGGCCUACCAAGGCGAUGAUGCAUAGCCGAGUUGAGAGACUGAUCGGCCACAUUGGGACUGAGACACGGCCCAA